ACCACAGGCCCUGAAGUCUUUUGGUUCUUGACAGUCUAUGACACAGACAUUCCAGAUGCCAGUGACUCUAGCAUGAGACACAAAACCCCGAGAAACCAGAGUGGCAGACAGAACAGAUAAGUGUCCCCUACGAUGGAGGGACAGUGCUAUGUGAAGGAAAAGUAUCCCCUUCUUGACCUGUGCUACACUGAACUACCCUGUUCCAGGGUUGUUGCCCUGUGUUUCUGCUACCCAUUUGGUGAUUGCCCCACUCUGGGAAGUUGUGUAAAAAUCUCUUGAUUCGAACAGAUGCUCUCGAGUGCUUUUCCAUUUUGAGUAUGAUAAAUGUGAAGCAGGCUGUUCCGAAUGGCACAGUUGUCUGCCCUGUGAAGAUUCCUGUGGAUGAUAGGGAAGUUUUAAAGAGCUUUUGAGUGUUUACAGGUUAUGUUGUAGUUAAAGGGACACUGCCUUUCGACAAAGCAGGUGCCUUCAGAGGUUUCUCGAGUCUCUGCAUGUAAGGUACAUGGAAGACUACACCCACAGCUGGCUCUUCACUGGGGACCAAAUGAUGACUGCCUGAGCUACCAGGUACCCAGAGCUUAAGGUGAAGUGGAGGCCAACAGUGGGGCCUUGGGUGUGAGACACUGAGGUUCUACAUUACUGAACAUUGUGUGAGUCAUGUGUGGGGUGCAGUCUGUUGCCAGCCAGUCUGUAAGACUCUGUCCAUUACAUAUGAGCUGAAGCCACUGGUACUUCUUGUCCAGGUCUUACUGGUCCUUCCUGCUGUAUGUCUUACUGCCCACGGUGCCACUGCUUUCUAAGUUGGCUUCAUACCUGGAAAGUAUGAAAAUAGCCCCUCAAGGAGAUGUUGGGGUGAAAAUGAGCAAUAAUUAUGUCUACAUUUUAUUUACUUGAACAAGUCAUCUGCCAUGAUGAUGGAUCAAAAUGGGGCCUUUUAAUCUAUAAGCCACCUUUUAAAAAAAGCAACCUGUGUUGGACACUGACGAGGUGUCUUUACUGUGCUAUGUAAGGUCACCCACCCCCAUUAUGAAGACGUUCCCUCAUUUGACUUUGUCCAGGUUUCUGCUUCCUUCCAGUGCACGACAGGUGGCAGAUGUUGGAUUAAUCUGUACAGUGGGCCUGUCUACUCAAGACCUGGCUGUGCAGCUGCAGAUACUGAAGAGUGUGUGCUCAUGGAUACUGGUCGGAAGAUCUCUGGCCUCCCACAGACCUUGCCAAAGGAUGCUCAGAGCUCCACGCACUUGGCUUCUUACUAUUUGGAAUUUCUGCCUGUGUCCUAUGUGUAAUUAGGAAAUAGCCUAUUGUGACUUGUUCUAGUCACCCCUCCCCUACACCACCAGACUCAGCCUGUUUUGAUUUUCUAAGUUUUUGGACUAGAAGCAAAAACAAAGAUUUUUCUUAAAGCAAUUUCCUGUAAAGCUGCUUUUCAGACUUGUCUUCACAGGUGGAAAGAUCAUGAACUCUGCCGCUUCCAUUAGCUCUUCCAAGACAUGGCUAGGGUGAGAGUCUUUGAAUGGCCCUGCUUGACCAUUUGUUAUGACCAUUCCAUAACAAUAUUUUUUAAUUAACUUUGUUAGUAUUUCAUAGAAUACUGUGUUCUUCAUGAAUUGUUACUGAUGUACAUGUAGAAAUAUUGGCACCACGUGUCAUUACUUAUCCUGGAUAAUUCCUCCUGAGUCUAUAUCAUUGUCUGGUCUGUUGUAAACAACACUGGAUUGACCUGAGCCAGCCAUCUUCUUACUCACUGCACCCAUGGUUAAAAAGAUAUGCACAUUUCUAAUUUCAAAAAUACUUUAGGGACUAUAGAGACAGACUAAUGGUUAAGAACUAGUAUUAUGUUUCCUGGUGAGGACCCAAGUUCAGUUCCCAAAACUCAUUUAGAGUGCUUCACCAACUGCCUGUAACUCCAGCUUUAGGGAUUCUGAUGCCUCUGGCUGCGCUGGGCAUCUGCAUUCAGGCUUGUGUAUGCAUAUACACAUGCACAACUUAAAAAUAAUGCAUUUGCUGGGUGGUUGUGGUACAUGCCUUUAAUCCCAGCACUUGUGAAGCAGAAGCAGGUGGAUCUCUGUGAGUUUGAGGGCAGUCUGGUCUACAGAGCACGUUCCAGGAUAGCUAGAGUAAUACAGAGAAACCCUGUCUUGAAAAACUAGAUAGAUACACUUUUAAAAAUUUCAUGCUUUGGGGUAUACCUUAGUAGCACAUCACUGGCAUGCAUUAUGGGGCUCUUGAGUUGAUCCCAGCAGCAGACAUUGGAUAGAGGGAUGAAGGGGAGAAAAGCCCCUCCCCCAAACUUCCACUAGUAAAAGACAAGGAAAAAUUUUUUUAAUGUAUUCCUGAUUUCUAUGCAUUGAUGUUUUGCCUGCAUGUGUAUCUGUAUGAGAGUGUUGGAUCCCCUGGAACAGAUAGUUAUGAGCUGCCAUGUGGCUCCUGGGAAUUUCAUUUGGGUCCUCUUGAAGAUCAGCCAUCUUACCAGCUCUUGUUUUGUUUAUUUUUAAACUACGUCAUCAUGGCACAUACAUUAGACUUACAUAGUAAUUCAAGACUAGUUCGGGCUACAUAUUGAGACCAAGUUUCAAAAUAAAUUUUAUUAUUUCUUGAAUACCAGGAUUAUAAUCGUUCCUCAGGUAGUGGUGGUUUACACUUUUAAUCCCAGUACUCAGGAGAUAGAGACAGGUGAUUCUUUGUGAGUUCCAGGCUAGCCUAGUCUACAAAGCCAGUUCUAGGAUUGCCAGGGCCAUGUCUCAAAAAACAAAAUUUGAGAUAAAUAAAAAUGAUGAAUCAGAGGAGAUUAAAUAAUAAAGGUGGGCUGGAGAGAUAGCUCAGCGGUUAAGAGCAUUGACUGCUCUUCCAGAGGUCCUGAGUUCAAUUCCCAGCAACCACAUGGUGGCUCACAAACAAAAAAGUGGGAUGUGAUGCCCAUUUCUGGUGUGUCUAAAGACAGCUACAGUAUACUCAUAUAUAUUAAAUCUUAAAAGAAAAGAAAGAAAAAAGAAUAAAAGCUGCUCAUGGGAUUCAGCCAAGUGAUAUCUUCUUAACAUUGGAAAAGGGUAAAUAAAUAUGUUACUAUGGGAAACCAUGCCAAUGCCUUCUGAGAUUGCAUUUACCUAUGUAACCUAUACUGUCCUUGAAGUCCUUGAACUCUAGACCUUCUAAUUCAACAUUCUUAGUACUGAGAUUACAAGUAUUUCACCACUCCUGACCCCCUCUGCCUUUGAGCAACAAUCUUUUGUUUUUUCUUAACUUGUAAACAUUGACCUCCCCUUCAUCUCUUCAUUACCUCGACCCUUUGGUUCUUGUGCUUGGGAUAGAACUUAAGGCUUCAAGAAUGCAAGCUAGGCUGCUAUUCUUUCUCUGAGAUAUGGCGUCCAGCCUGUUUUCCUAGUUUAUAAAUACCUUUGCUCUCUGCAUGGAUUAGAACAGGACAUACUGAUUGUGGACAAAUAGUACCCACCACAAUUCAAAGUUUAGUAGGUUUUAACUUUGGUGUCUCUGAAGUAUGUUUUCCUGGGGACUCUGAUCCUGACUUUGGUGGCUAUUGAACCCUCCCUGACAUAUCCAAGUUUAGUUUUAAACAAAUCAAGUUGGCAAGUUGUGUGUGGUGUUUUUGUUUGUUUUCACUUUUCAUUUCUGGGUCUUAAACUGCAUAUUAAAUUCACUUGUAAUGUCUGGAUUCAGAGAUAGUUGUGAGUCUGUGUUUACUCAGUGUUGGCGUUUUGGAACAGGCCACAGUUUAGAGUAGUAAGUUGUCUUCGUCAAAGCCAAGUCAUAUUUGCUUUAUACCAAACAAUAUUAGAGAACUAAAACACAUCAUAAAAUGUAUACUGUUUUGUAUUUCACCUCUUUCAGUAUUUAAUUAUAUUAAUGCCUUCUAGAAUUCUGUUAGAUAAUUCAUUGAUUCCUGAAAUAAAUUGGUAUUGUG
Molecule: long non-coding RNA, 3919 nt
Organism: Rattus norvegicus (Norway rat)
Lineage: Eukaryota; Metazoa; Chordata; Mammalia; Rodentia; Muridae
Source: Ensembl